This 218-nucleotide long non-coding RNA is filed under the name Elaeis guineensis (African oil palm). RNAcentral's name for it is "long non-coding RNA (EGUI_LNC061691)". The record is from RNAcentral. Lineage: Eukaryota; Viridiplantae; Streptophyta; Magnoliopsida; Arecales; Arecaceae.
CCUCGAGAAAUACUUUCUCUGAAUCCUUUUGUGAGAAUACCAAGUAUCUUUCUAAAGGAUAAGAGAUCCUACUAGAUCGAUGAGUUAGAGGAAGUACUACAUACAUUGGCUCAUCUUAAAUAGAUUAUACAGGUCUAGUGACUCAUUGUUCUUUAGAGACUCUCUUUGAGUUCAUCCUCCCACUAUUUUCAAGAAAAUAGUAUAAUUGCUCACAAUCA